RNAcentral lists this ribozyme (63 nucleotides) under unclassified sequences. RNAcentral's name for it is "pistol ribozyme". It matches the Rfam family "Pistol ribozyme". The record is from RNAcentral.
AGUCGUUCGUGCGACUAUAAAUAGACCUUAGGCACGAAGCGGGGAGAGUAAUCUCCCGUGGCA